RNAcentral lists this transfer RNA (72 nucleotides) under Marmota marmota marmota (Alpine marmot). It matches the Rfam family "tRNA". From Rfam's summary of the family: Transfer RNA (tRNA) molecules are approximately 80 nucleotides in length. Their secondary structure includes four short double-helical elements and three loops (D, anti-codon, and T loops). RNAcentral also lists the same sequence under 1 other name. The record is from Rfam by way of RNAcentral. Lineage: Eukaryota; Metazoa; Chordata; Mammalia; Rodentia; Sciuridae.
GGGGUUGUAGCUCAGUGAUAGAGUGCUUGCCUAGCAUGCAGGAGGCCCUGGUUUCAAUUCCCAGUAAUGCAA